GCAGUUCAGCAGCCCCUGGUCUGUUUUAUUUCACGUGAAUAUUGCAAAGUACCACACACACACAUGCUUUCAUCAUGUGAUCACAUCAUGGCUGUCAAC
This is a long non-coding RNA of Alosa sapidissima (American shad), 99 nucleotides long. RefSeq lists it as uncharacterized. The transcript is spliced from 4 exons. Lineage: Eukaryota; Metazoa; Chordata; Actinopteri; Clupeiformes; Clupeidae. The record is from RefSeq and is a predicted model, not a curated record.